GAAAUCUGCAGUACAUAUAAAAUGAAUAGUUGGUUCCAAGAAACAGACCCCUAGAAUUAAACAGAACUACUAGAGAACAGGUUUUAAAUCAACUAACGUAAAAAAUAGCAGUAUAUGUUUAUGCACCUUGUAACACGAGGUGGUAUCUCCUCCUCUCCCUGCCCGGCCCCAGGUCAUAGUACUGAAGUAAACUUUAAUUUGCUCGUCUUCUAAAGGAGAGCAUGAAAACGCAAUCAUCUGUAUAAAACCCCUCACCUCCCAACGUUAGCAGAAAAAGGCAAUUAAUUUAUUCUACCAAAGGAGGUGGAAGAGUGGAUUUACGUUAUUGUAAAUAGAAACAUUUGAUUUCCAAGCCUCUCUAUUGCAGAUUUUUCCACCAGAAAGCCCAUAUGGCUCAACUUUUAAUUACUUUGGCUAAUGCUAUAUGUAGUAAUUCUGUGGUGAAUGCUUAAGUGUUUCAUUGCUGGUUUCCAUGGCAACAUUACAUCAGAUUACAGACAGCUGGCUCCACAGUUUUAAACCAUAACAAAUUGACCAAGCCAAGGCACAAAACUAGAGCUGCUUUAAAGAGAUAGUGCACCAUUCGCCUGCCAGGGCGCUGAAUGAGGGGCCUAUGGGGCCCACUUGGCAGGCCAAGGAGGGUGGAGCCUCCUUCCUUCUCAGCUUCUUUUGGAACAUGUGCAUCCUUGACACAUCUGCAAUGUUCUAAUAGGAAAGACAUGGGGCCAGCGUGGAGGACUUUUCAUAACACAGCUACGCAGAGGAGGAUCGGAAAAAAGGGAACACAAUUAAUAGCAUCUGUAGACAGAAAAGUGUGUGAGUCGAGCAAAUGGAACGGCAGCAUCCCGCGCUCUCCAGCCCGUCCCUGCAGGUCUGCACUGCCAGCGGCGUUAACCGUAAGGGAAGGAAGCGGGUCGGCUGCAGCAUUAUGAAAAGCUGCAUCAGGCAAGGCAGUCUGCAGUCCAGUCCUCCGCACUGAAAGCCUCCACGAUGACAACUGGGCUCCAACCACGUACACUCAGUCUCUUGAGAAUCCCUUUAUUCUCAGAUUAAAAUCCCCUAUUCUCCCCCCAAAGCUAUGCCUUAUUGGGUGAGCGUGCUGGGAAAGAAGGCUCGGGGCUCCAUAGCAGGGAAGGAAAGAAGGGAAGGAGGACAAAUCUCGAAGAAGCUGAACAGAAAAGAGGAAAGCAUCCUAGCUGGGAGCAGUCAAAAAAGCUUUUCCUUGCAGGGACAGAAAGCACAUUUUCCCUUUCACGUUAAACACAUCCAACGAACUUACCGGCUUCGGCAUUUAGCAGGCCUAAGGGGCAAUUUCGAGCACGUCUGGUCCCCCCGCCCCCUCCCCACGUUGAGCGCGUCUUCACUCCUGUUCCGUCAACUCUGUGAUCUCAAAGUGAGGAUCAGGCACUCCUCAAACAUGUUCCUUUGGAGUUACAUGAUCAGACAGGCGCCACCAGCACGGCUUAGCAUCCGAAGGAGGAAAAAGUGAAGACACUGGGUUCAAUUAGCUGCUUUCUGCCUGCUGACUGAUUCCCCAGUUACUUGCUAACUGCAUAACUUGUAAGAAAGGCAUAAGUCAUCAGCUCUAAGCAAAUCUCCUAUUCACCACAAGGAAAAAAGGGAGUGUUGUACGUGGCAAACAAUCCCUGUUUUCACUGACGAAGGCUCCCUGACCUCCCGCUGGCCUCCAGUUCCUUAAUUACUGUCUAUGGAAUUCCAGAGAAAGAAAAAAAAGGACGCGGGAAUCUGAGCAAAUCCGGGACAAGGACUAACCCUUACAAGUGACUGAACUUAAAAAAGAUCUCUUUCGCAGAUACUCCUCCAAACAUCCCCUGAAGGGAGUAGUCUCGAUUGAAAAUAGACACCUUCCAAUGGCUAUUUUUGAAAUUACUGAAUUAAAACUUGUGAUUUUGGUUUU
Molecule: long non-coding RNA, 1918 nt
Organism: Acinonyx jubatus (cheetah)
Lineage: Eukaryota; Metazoa; Chordata; Mammalia; Carnivora; Felidae
Exons: 2
Source: RefSeq, a predicted model, not a curated record